This 205-nucleotide ribosomal RNA is filed under the name uncultured bacterium. RNAcentral's name for it is "partial 16S ribosomal RNA". It matches the Rfam family "Bacterial small subunit ribosomal RNA", at positions 568 to 774 of the family's 1533-position model. The record is from RNAcentral.
CGUGUAGGCGGGCUGGAAAGUUGGGGUGAAAUCCCGAGGCUCAACCUCGGAACUGCCUCCAAAACUUCCAGCCUGGACUCAAGCAGAGGCAAGUGAAUUGCGAGUGUAGGGGUGAAAUUCGUAGAUAUUCGCAGGAACACCAGUGGCGAAGGCGACUUGCUGGGCUUGUAGUGACGCUGAGACGCGAAAGCGUGGGGAGCAAACA